GAUGAACGCUGGCGGCGUGCCUAAUACAUGCAAGUCGAGCGAACAGACGAGGAGCUUGCUCCUUUGACGUUAGCGGCGGACGGGUGAGUAACACGUGGGUAACCUACCUAUAAGACUGGGAUAACUUCGGGAAACCGGAGCUAAUACCGGAUAAUAUUUCGAACCGCAUGGUUCGAUAGUGAAAGAUGGCUCUGCUAUCACUUAUAGAUGGACCUGCGCCGUAUUAGCUAGUUGGUAAGGUAACGGCUUACCAAGGCAACGAUACGUAGCCGACCUGAGAGGGUGAUCGGCCACACUGGAACUGAGACACGGUCCAGACUCCUACGGGAGGCAGCAGUAGGGAAUCUUCCGCAAUGGGCGAAAGCCUGACGGAGCGACGCCGCGUGAGUGAUGAAGGUCUUCGGAUCGUAAAACUCUGUUAUUAGGGAAGAACAAACGUGUAAGUAACUGUGCACGUCUUGACGGUACCUAAUCAGAAAGCCACGGCUAACUACGUG
This 497-nucleotide ribosomal RNA is filed under the name uncultured bacterium. RNAcentral describes it as "partial 16S ribosomal RNA". It matches the Rfam family "Bacterial small subunit ribosomal RNA", at positions 28 to 507 of the family's 1533-position model. The record is from RNAcentral.